GAUGAAGAACGCAGCGAAACGCGAUACGUAAUGUGAAUUGCAGAAUUCAGUGAAUCAUCGAAUCUUUGAACGCACCUUGCGCCCCUCGGCAUUCCGAGGGGCAUGCCUGUCCGAGCGUCAUUGCUGCCCUCAAGCACGGCUUGUGUGUUGGGCCUCCGCCCCCCGGCUCCCGGGGGGCGGGCCCGAAAGGCAGCGGCGGCACCGCGUCCGGUCCUCGAGCGUAUGGGGCUUCGUCACCCGCUCCGUAGGCCCGGCCGGCGCCCGCCGGCGACCCCCCUCAAUCUUUCCAGGUUGACCUCGGAUCAGGUAGGGAUACCCGCUGAACUUAAGCAUAUCAAUAAGCGGAGGA
RNAcentral lists this unclassified non-coding RNA (349 nucleotides) under soil metagenome. Its description in RNAcentral is "partial contains 5.8S ribosomal RNA, internal transcribed spacer 2, and large subunit ribosomal RNA". The stretch from base 1 to 120 matches the Rfam family "5.8S ribosomal RNA", at positions 35 to 154 of the family's 154-position model. The record is from RNAcentral.